UGUGGUGGGGCAGCUGCACCCCGAUGAGUGGCUUGCAGUUCCUGGAGCCCUGCAGGUUGUUGGAGAGGCAGGGAGCCCUUCUCCCUCCUGCCUGCCCUCUUGCACUUCCUCUCCCAGAACCCAGCACUACUCCCAGAGGCUCUGAGCUGGAGCCCUAGAAGGAGGCGCUGCAAGGCUCCGUGCUCCUGGAGCUUCGAGUCUAUGGUAUGAGUUAAACAGAAGGGUAUCUCCUCCAUCAGAUCUACAGGAGGGUGUCUGCUCCAUCAGACCUGGAGCUUCCAAGGCAUUUUACCCGAAGCUCCAGCACCUGGCCCAAGGCUGGGCUGUGCUGUGUCCUCAGUGAAAGAAUGGAUGAGUCACAGCUGAAUGACUGAAGAGCUGAACCAGGUCCAGAAAGACUCAGCCACUGGAGUCUGUAUUUCCUGAGUCGCCUCUCACUGCUGGAGCUGUUUAUCAUCGCUCCAACUUUCACUAAAAAGGAAAAACUAUCACUUAAACAAAGCCAUUGAAACCCCAGCAUCAUGUGUGGAUUUUUUAACAUAAAUAAAUCAUACAAACUAA
Homo sapiens (human) is the source of this 561-nucleotide long non-coding RNA. Ensembl annotates it as PRDM16 divergent transcript. Its record names the gene PRDM16-DT. The record is from Ensembl. Lineage: Eukaryota; Metazoa; Chordata; Mammalia; Primates; Hominidae.